AACGCACAUUGCGCCCGACAGUAUUCUGACGGGCAUGCCUGUCCGAGCGUCGCUUCAACCCUCGAGCCCCCCCUCCCGGGGGGGGGCCCGGCGUUGGGGAUCGGCCGCCGCCCUCGCCGGCGGCCGGCCCCGAAAUCGAGUGGCGGCCUCGCCGCAGCCUCCUCUGCGUAGUAGCACAAACACCUCGCACUGGACGGCCGGCGCGGCCACGCCGUGAAACCCCACACUUUCCAAAAGGUUGACCUCGGAUCAGGCAGGACUACCCGCUGAACUUAA
This 276-nucleotide unclassified non-coding RNA is filed under the name uncultured fungus. RNAcentral's name for it is "partial contains 5.8S ribosomal RNA, internal transcribed spacer 2, and large subunit ribosomal RNA". The record is from RNAcentral. Lineage: Eukaryota; Fungi.